GACGAACCGUGCGAACGUUGUUCGGAUUCACUGGGCUUAAAGGGCGCGUAGGCGGGCGGUCAAGUCCGGGGUGAAAUCUUCCGGCCCAACCGGAAAAUGGCCCGGGAUACUGGCCGCCUUGAGGGGGGUAGGGGCAUGCGGAACUUCCGGUGGAGCGGUGAAAUGCGUAGAUAUCGGAAGGAACGCCGGCGGCGAAAGCGGCGUGCUGGACCCCCCCUGACGCUGAGGCGCGAAAGCCAGGGGAGCAAACGGG
RNAcentral lists this ribosomal RNA (253 nucleotides) under uncultured bacterium. RNAcentral's name for it is "partial 16S ribosomal RNA". It matches the Rfam family "Bacterial small subunit ribosomal RNA", at positions 524 to 776 of the family's 1533-position model. The record is from RNAcentral.